Long non-coding RNA from Cavia porcellus (domestic guinea pig), 987 nucleotides. RefSeq lists it as uncharacterized. NCBI's taxonomy places the organism in Eukaryota, Metazoa, Chordata, Mammalia, Rodentia, Caviidae. The record is from RefSeq and is a predicted model, not a curated record. The transcript is spliced from 4 exons.
AGGAGACGGUGAUGCUGUGUUGUGCUGUUCAAGUUCUGUGCAGUGCUGAUACCUGUCUCCACGAGUGUGGCUGACUCUACUUAAGAAACCCAGUGGUACAUGAUCUCGAGAAGGAGGUGAUGUAGAAGACAGUUUUUGGAGUAUGGAAUUUGGGAUUGGACAUAAACGGAUUCAAAUAAUGAGACACUAGGAGGCCUGACCUGUUUGUCUACAGUUUCUUCCAUUUUUAAUGUAUUAUUAAACUUGAUACCUUAUAGUUCAAGUUUCUUUAAAAGUAAAGCAGUAUGAUUCCAGGUUUUAGUGAUGGAGGCAUUAUGAUCAAACUAUGGAGAAUCUUGUUCAAGUUUGAUGAUUUGUACACUUGUCACCCAUAUUUUACAUUUACCACUGCAAGAUGGCGCUGGUCAACAAAGGAACCUGCAUGCCUCCCUGGCUCUAGGGAACAGCAGGCGACCCAGGAACAGAACCAGCAAGAGAUCCACUCCAUGUUGGAAUUUAGAGCGUGGGGCAACAAAGGAACCCACUAGCCUCCCAAGAGUAGGCUGCCAUGAGCCUAUUGGCACACGGGCUGAGAAUCAAACCCUACCCCAAUUAACAAAUGGGAGCCAGAGGUCUGAGCAUCUCUUGGAAGGAUGACCAUAUACAAUAUAGAAAAUAUGAGGGAUUUUAUUCUACCAUCUCUUUGAAGGCAAAUAUUGUUAUCACUGUUUUGCUUUGUUUUGAUUAAUUGUGUUGCUCUAUUCAAUACUCUUUUUUGAUAGGUUUUAUGAUGUUCUGUAUUUGGUUUGAUUUUUCUAUACCUGAUUGUAAGGACAACUAUUGUGAAGAUAACGAGAUAUACUAUGAUACCUACUACUGUUAUCCUAGUAACGUACUGUGAAGUUCUGUACCAAUUUCACUGAUUGUCUUGAAUGGCUUUAUUUUGUCUUGUUCUGUUGUAUUUUACUACCUUCACAAUAAUAAAAAAGUGUCUUUUUUUCAUUUUAA